CAACCCCUCCAGCUUCCUUUUUCUAAACCCUGUUCUUUAGGCGUAAGGUGCCGAGCUCCUCCCUGCCCCCGCCCUGCCCCAAAUCACGUCUGUGCACACAUCCCCAAGGAGGAGAAGGGCUCAGUAUAACUCUGCAAAGAAACCGUCUCUACAAAUGCUCUUUUCAACCUCUGGAAUAAAAGCUCUCAGCCAUCAUAAAUGAAGAAGACAAGUAUGAACAGUAGAAGUCCUCUGCAAUGUGUGACAUAGAGUGAAGGUGAGGAGAGGUGGGCAAGCUGCUGGGAAUGGUUGUGCAGGUUGUGCACUGCAAAAACUCUGGGAGGUGUCAUUUACAUCAUAGUCCAGGGAGACAGAUGAGCUUGGAGAAGGCUCCUGUAGCAUCUGGACCAGGAGCCCCUGAGCUAAGCCAGUGGCACUAAAGAGGAUGCAGAGGAGGGACAGAUGGGAGAGAGUGACAGGAGGGAGAGCUGCUGGGGGUUAGCGGCACCUGAUGGUGCAGGACAGGGGUUUCAUGGAAUGGGUUUCUGGGUGGAUGAUCAUGUGAUUCAUUUCGAGCCAGGCAAGAAGACAGGCCACACAGCCUAAGUGCAAUGAAUGGCAAGAAAGGUAUUGACCUCUUUGACUCAAAAACAUGGCAGUGUUAGAGGUGGUAACAGAGAAGCAUGGUUGAGGCAAGAGACCUGGGAUUUUAACCCAAAGACGUGGAAUAAAGCAGAAGCAGCCUCAGGCUGGGCAAUGGAAGUCUCCCAACCCUAUUAGUUACAGGUGUGUGAUAAAACCCUUUCUCUCUGUAAUCUCUCGUGGGAGGUUCAAAGAAUGAGCGCCGUCACUCUUUGAGGUGAAGACACCACAUUUUAAAGAAGUGUCAUGCUUUUCACACAGUGAUCGAUAAGAACAAGAAUCUCUUAGAUGUGGGCGGGGGGGGGGGGGGUUGGGUUCUGGCCUUCUUACUUUCCUGACACCCGUCUAAGCUGGGUAUCCCCAUUCAAGAAGCGGUGGGGAGAACCUGAACCUCAGAGAAGUGCUUUCAAUAUUACUGCAAUGCCGGGAAGUCAGAAUUCAUUUUCACAUAGACUAUAAUUUGAAGCAAUAGGUCACAUUUAAAUAAGGGAGUUUCGAGAAAUAACCCAGCAGCUAGAGGGUUUAGCCACCUAGGCAAAGGCAAAAUUUUAAUGCCUCCCGUAUGUUUGACAGCAAAGGGAAAUGCAGUUAGAAUUAGGAAACCAUGUAAUUGGGAUGUAUAAAUAGACUGACAGAGUUUAGAAAAUCAAGAAACUAAGAGCAGUCUUAGCCGGAUGCCAGAUCUAAGCUUAGAGUAAAAUUAGAGUGUGAAAACCGUUUGACAACUCAUGAGUGUGAGCUCCACUCCCCCCAGUAACCAAAGAAGGAAAGCAUCUAGAAAUUGGUUUAACCACGCAGAAAGUUCCAUCUAUUAAAUACACAUGCAGCACUUGCUCAAGUUCUGUAUGUAUUUUAUACUGACCUCUGCAGUCACUUCUGACCCAAGGCUGUGCAAAUGUUUUAACGUGAAUGGUUUCCAUGACCCCCCCCAGUUUUGAUGUGAAACCACAGUGCUGGUCAGUGGACAGCCGCGGCACGUGUUGAAUGACUCCCCGCAGACUUCAUUUCAUUUAAAAAAAAACCAAAACCAUUCUGCCUCACUGCUAAUGUUCAGAUCUGAGACGAAGAAGGAGGUAAUUUUAUCUUUCAUCCUGUCAUGUGCUCCAAAUCCUAGAUCGUACACAGCGCGACGGCCCUGGAAGGAGCCUUAGGGGCUAAUGGCAUCAGCCUCUCCGUGCGCGGGUGACUGUGCAGCGGGCACGGUGUGAGAGCUCUGAGGGUCAGGCUCUAGACCCACUGCCAUUUAAGCUCUUCUUAGGUGGGUGAAGACCGGCUGGUCCGCGUCACACAGAAUCAUUUCAUGGGGGUCUCUGUCCGGAUUCGGGAAGGGCUGCAAUGAGCUCCUUGGUCAUCCCGGCUCUGGGUGUUUGUGCUUCGGAACAUCAUCCGGCAAACUGACCACAGCCUGGCCCCAAGGAGCUGUGUGUUGCUGCCCCGAGCCUGGUGGGGGCGGCUCUGCGGUGGGGGUGUUGGGCGACAACUCGCCUGCUUUGUGACGGCUGGUCCACGCUGCGGGGACUGGGGGACUCACGCGGGUGGACACCUCAUACAUCCUUCGUUCCAGCAGGCUGGUCUGAACUUCCCCUUGGUAGCUGGUCCAUCCAAACCAUGGGUCCCCCGUGCUCAGGGAACCAGAGUCGGUUUGGCCGUGAUGUUUCCCAACGCCAAAGGCAGCCCUUUCUCGCCCCCUGUGCAUGGCUGGAGAACAUCUGCCUCUAAACCCUCCGGGGCCAACCGGUCUCCCUGCGCCGCAGGAUUUCCACGAAGCCAGAUGGGCUGGUCUGUCCCCACCGUCCUAAGGACACCACUUCUACUUCAGGCUCUUGUGCGAUUCUGCGGACACACACGGGCUGUGGUGAGACUUAUUAGCGGAGGGACUGAAGUUUCGUAACCCAGCUUCGAGGUCCCCCGUGCCCCACGCUGUCUGUGCAGGUGCCUGACCUGACGCAGGCUUUGAGGGACCCUGGCUGAUCGAACGUGAAGCAAAGGGAAAAACAUUAGGGCAUCACCGGGACUUGGCAAGAGUGACUUAAAAACAACGCGGUAACCAAGCAGCCCACCUCCCCGUGGUCUGCUUCGCCCAGGCUGCUGACAGCUCCAGCCUCCCUCGUGGGAGGAAAGUCAACUCAGAACGUCCCCUGUCCACUGUUUUCCCCUUUCAAGAUCAGACAGUAAGACACACCCCUUUUCUGACCUCUGAGUGGAGUUGGGGUUAUUUGGAUUACAUAAUAAGAUCUCUCUCACUUUGAACAUUAGCCCAGUGAAUUUGAGACCUUAAAAGGUCUUUUCAAGGGCAGGUGACAGGGCCUUUUGGUACAUUUGUCUCUGGAUUUCUUCUACAUCCUGUUUUAUGUGUGGUUUGAUCAGCUGAUGGAUCAUGUGAUGUUUUGCUCCUUCAAAUGACAGAAAUAGAGACUCAGAAUAACCACACGGAGAAGCCUCUCGAAUGUUUACCAAACACAUUGCUCAAAAACAUGCUUUUCCACGGUUCACAUGCUUUUUAUGAAAGAGCCGCGAGAGGGUGGGCGUGGGGAGCCACGGGUAUCACGGAACUGGCCACACGUGGACCGCAGAGGUCUCCAGGCUACAAGGGGCCGUGUCUGCCGAAGCCCCGCCUGCUGACAAGAGGGGCCAGACCUCAAACACAAAAAACCCCUUUUGCUGGGCUGUGCCUCGCUUUGUUUGGAAACUUCAUUCCUAUUUUUAGGGGUCAGCUCACCUGCAAAAUAAGAGGCCAGAAGUCACAGCUCCUUAGAACGCUGUCCUGUGCAUGGGCGUGCUUAGAGAUUCAUGGAAGUAGAAAGGUUUUUAAAUAUAAGAACGUAUUUUUCAAGGUCAUGUCAUUGAAUAACAAGACUAUGAAUACUUUUUCUCUUGCAACACAGCCUCUUGGGCUCUCCCAGUUCAAUCUGAAUUAAGCAAAGAGACUGGUCAGAAAACUACUAAGUCUUCAAACCAUUUUGUUUCUAGACACUAAGAGUAUAUAAAAAAAAAAAAGUUACUCUUCCCCUCCUCCCCCUUUUUCCCAUAAGAAAAAAUCCCAAAUGUGGAGCAAUUAGGGUAGGGAGCUGUUGAGUUUUUUUUUCACUUGUUACUUUACGCUAUCUUUGAGGAACUUUUGUCACACUUGGGAAAUGUAAUGACUAUUCCAACCCCAAGAGAGAUCCAGAAAAGGCUGCCCAUGAGGACUGCAGAGCUGGACCCUCGCUGGGAAGUGCUUUGGGGUUUGGAGAACUUUCAACCAGUUGGAGCUUGACUCUGGUGGAGCCCCUUUCUGGGCCUCCCUCCUCGUGGGCCCUGCCCUCUGCACCUCCCAAAGUUAUUUAUUGGUAGGACGCAAAGAAUGAAAAAGUGUAUUUGCUACCAUACCAAAGCUUUCCUUCGCCCCACCCCGUAUAUCCUAAACAACACCGAAAGCUAUUCUUUCUGAGGGUAUCAGCCAUUCAUGGACAUCUCCAAAGCCAAGCCACGUGCUCAGGCCGAGCCCAUGAAACAAACGCAGAACAAGAAGAUCUUUGGGAGAAGGCGGACCCAACACAGGCAGCAAGGGGCCAUGCCUGGCUUCCACCCCGUUUUGUAAACCAAUGCCCGCCGCCCCCCCCCCCCCCCAAUGCCCAGAUGAAAGAAUCCCAGUCAGGCGAGAGGUUCUGGCCAGUAGGCAAACCUCUCAACAGGCCCCUGAGCCUCAGGCCAACAGGUAGAGCCCCAUCAUGACUUUCCUGCAGCGAGUCUUGCCUGGUUCUUUCCGCUCACUGCUCGGGCAUCCGAUGCCCCGGGCCAGCAAGCUCCGAGUGGAACAGAGCACACGACACCUUCAUGUGUUGAAGGACCUGGCUUAUGGCUCUCAAAAAAAGCAAGGAGGCCUCUGUCCUGGAAAACCUUCAGUAUAGAAAGACUGCUUCGAGCUGCCCCGACUCACUUCUCAGCGUUUGAAAACGACUUUGUGCCUCUGUCGUUUCAGGUUAGAUGUGUCUACAAGGAUCACCCAACACGGAGAAAGUCACGCUUGGUCUUUUUACAGCCCUUGACCUGUGACUUUCCCAGGCACCACGCCCUUCUAAUGAUACCUGUCCGCUAAGCGGCUGGCAAGGAAAAAGAAACCUGCGUUGGGGAAAUCUGGGUUUCUUGGCCAGCAAAGUCAAAGGUGUGGCCCUCCUUACUCUGAAAAGUGGGACGGAGCCGUGUCGUGUCCCCCUCCCCCUUCCGACCGCCUUUCCCAUCUGAGGGUGCCAACACCGUGUCCUGCUUUAGAAGCUAAGGCGUGCGUGGUAGGCCACGAAUGAAGUUAGCCCACGUGGAGGAACUGUGUGAGGGACGGCGUGCUUCAAGGCGGAAGGUACUGGACACGUCCCGCACGAGGUCUGUCACCAUGGUCCGGGUGUGGGGUGGCUUCCCGUGAUCUCUGAGACAGUGGCCACCUAUUUCUGGCCCGUUCAUCACCGACGGUGUCUCUGAGGUUCUAGCGGCACCUUCUAGUUGUGUAAUGAAGGCUCUCUAGCUGAGCUUUCCCUGACUUAGGAAGAGAUGGCUUUUUCAGUUUGAGCUUCACGUUCUAGCCCCACAAGCAUGAGAUAGUCACACAUGUUAAAAAAUACUGCUGUUUAAUUUUCUAGUCAUGUACUUUUAAAAAGCUGAUACAAUUAGACAUUUUUUUUCCCCAUCUUCUCAGAUCUGCCCCUGAAACCAGCCGAGAGCUACCCAUCUUAAUUCCCAGCACUCAUCUAUAUAGAGGAAAAGUCUCUCAGAGGAAGCACAUGAAAAUCUGUCCCCAUGGUGGACACACCCAAGGUCACUUGAUGUCCGGAAAUGUGAAUGCAGCCCUGUGAUGUUCAUGGCUGACUUUAUGCCCUUACAUUCUUUUUUUUUUUUUUUUAAAUGAGGAACAAUAUGAUUACACAGCACUGAAAA
Mustela erminea (ermine) is the source of this 5529-nucleotide long non-coding RNA. RefSeq lists it as uncharacterized. Lineage: Eukaryota; Metazoa; Chordata; Mammalia; Carnivora; Mustelidae. The record is from RefSeq and is a predicted model, not a curated record. The transcript has 2 exons.